GAUGAACGCUGGCGGCGUGCCUAAUACAUGCAAGUCGAGCGAACAGACGAGGAGCUUGCUCCUCUGACGUUAGCGGCGGACGGGUGAGUAACACGUGGAUAACCUACCUAUAAGACUGGGAUAACUUCGGGAAACCGGAGCUAAUACCGGAUAAUAUAUUGAACCGCAUGGUUCAAUAGUGAAAGACGGUUUUGCUGUCACUUAUAGAUGGAUCCGCGCCGCAUUAGCUAGUUGGUAAGGUAACGGCUUACCAAGGCAACGAUGCGUAGCCGACCUGAGAGGGUGAUCGCCCACCCUGGAACUGAGACACGGUCCAGACUCCUGCGGGAGGCAGCAGUAGGGAAUCUUCCGCAAUGGGCGAAAGCUUGACGGAGCAACGCCGCGUGAGUGAUGAAGGUCUUCGGAUCGUAAAACUCUGUUAUUAGGGAAGAACAAAUGUGUAAGUAACUAUGCACGUCUUGACGGUACCUAAUCAGAAAGCCACGGCUAACUACGUG
This 497-nucleotide ribosomal RNA is filed under the name uncultured bacterium. Its description in RNAcentral is "partial 16S ribosomal RNA". It matches the Rfam family "Bacterial small subunit ribosomal RNA", at positions 28 to 507 of the family's 1533-position model. The record is from RNAcentral.